CACUUCUCAGCAUGUUGCUGGUUGCCAUAUUAUUGCUUGAUGGCACGCAAGCCUUUGUCAGUCAUAAAGCUUUUCAAUCCAAAGUCCCUUUUGGGGGCCAAAAUACCCUCUCUGCG
RNAcentral lists this non-coding RNA (116 nucleotides) under Heterosigma akashiwo. The record is from RNAcentral. Lineage: Eukaryota; Raphidophyceae; Chattonellales; Chattonellaceae.